Molecule: ribosomal RNA, 253 nt
Filed under: uncultured bacterium
Lineage: Bacteria
Description: partial 16S ribosomal RNA
Rfam family: Bacterial small subunit ribosomal RNA
Source: RNAcentral
UACGUAGGGUGCAGGCGUUAAUCGGAAUUACUGGGCGUAAAGCGUGCGCAGGCGGUUGUGCAAGACCGAUGUGAAAUCCCCGGGCUUAACCUGGGAAUGGCAUUGGUGACUGCACGGCUAGAGUGUGUCAGAGGGGGGUAGAAUUCCACGUGUAGCAGUGAAAUGCGUAGAGAUGUGGAGGAAUACCGAUGGCGAAGGCAGCCCCCUGGGAUAACACUGACGCUCAUGCACGAAAGCGUGGGGAGCAAACAGG